RNAcentral lists this ribosomal RNA (370 nucleotides) under Eriocheir sinensis (Chinese mitten crab). Its description in RNAcentral is "eukaryotic LSU rRNA". It matches the Rfam family "Eukaryotic large subunit ribosomal RNA", at positions 1 to 344 of the family's 3401-position model. Lineage: Eukaryota; Metazoa; Arthropoda; Malacostraca; Decapoda; Varunidae. The record is from RNAcentral.
GACCUCGUGUUAGGGUAGAGUACCCGCCAAAUUUAAGCAUAUUAAUAAGCGGAGGAAAAGAAACCAACAGGGAUUCCCUUAGUAAGGGCGACUGAACCGGGAAAAGCCCAGCGCAUAACCUGGCGUCGUGACCCGGCGCCAGGGGUGUUGCGUUUCGGAGGGUCCGGCACGCAGUCUCUCACCGCCUAAGUUAUGCUUGAAAGCGGCCACUACCCAUGGAGGGUGACAGGCCCGUGUGGCGGAGCCCGCGAGGGUACGCGAGAGAUUGUCGGAAAGGGCCUCUCUGUAGAGUCGGGUUGCAGGAGAAUGCAGCCCUAAGCAGGUGGUAAACUCCAUUCAAAUCUAAAUAGACCACGAGACCGAUAGCGAA